RNAcentral lists this long non-coding RNA (337 nucleotides) under Rattus norvegicus (Norway rat). Its description in RNAcentral is "long non-coding RNA NONRATT020141". The stretch from base 263 to 333 matches the Rfam family "Small nucleolar RNA SNORD93". The record is from RNAcentral. Lineage: Eukaryota; Metazoa; Chordata; Mammalia; Rodentia; Muridae.
CCCGGAUUUGUUACCUCCGGGGUGGGGCCCCGGGGCCUGGGCACACGCGGGGCUCUCGCCUGUCCGGUAGUCCGGCGACGGGGACAUCGCCUAUUUGUGAAGCGGAUGAAAUCAGAGAUCAAAAAGUAGCAAGAAGCAGGAUAAUGCCAAUGUUAGCAAGGACGGAGAUGUGGCCGGCGCUGUGUCCAGGAUGAUAAUGAAUUCAAGGUAUGUGUCAGAUGGGAAGAUUUGACUUUCCAGGCAUAAUCCCAGAAACAGUUCUUGGCCAAGGAUGAGGACUCUAACCUGACUGGAUAUGCUGCUGUGAUGGGUUAAAGGAUUUACCUGAGGCCAACAG